This 253-nucleotide ribosomal RNA is filed under the name uncultured bacterium. RNAcentral describes it as "partial 16S ribosomal RNA". It matches the Rfam family "Bacterial small subunit ribosomal RNA", at positions 524 to 776 of the family's 1533-position model. The record is from RNAcentral.
GACAGAGGUCCCGAGCGUUAGGCGGAAUCACUGGGCUUAAAGCGUGUGUAGGCGGACUUGUAAGUACCUUGUGAAAUCCCACGGCUCACCCGUGGAACUGCUUGGUAUACUGCGAGUCUUGAGCCACCUAGGGGCGAGCGGAACAAACGGUGGAGCGGUGAAAUGCGUAGAUAUCGUUUGGAACGCCAAUGGUGAAAACAGCUCGCUGGGAGUGUGCUGACGCUGAGACACGAAAGCCAGGGGAGCAAACGGG